CCUACGGGUGGCUGCAGUGAGGAAUAUUGGUCAAUGGUCGGGAGCCUGAACCAGCCAAGUCGCGUGAGGGAGUACUGCCCUAUGGAUUGUAAACCUCUUUUGUCAGGGAACAAAAACUGGACGUCUUCCCCUGUUAGAUUACCCGGAAGAAAAACAUUCGCUAACUCCGUGCCAACCGCCGCGGUAAAAACGAGGAUGCCGCCGUUAUCCGGGUUGAUUUGGUUUAAAGGGUGCGCAGGCGGGUUUUUAAGUCAGCGGGUAAAACGUGGGGGUCAACCCCAUCCAGCCGUUGACACUGGCGGUCUAGAGUUGGCGAGAAGUAUGCGGAAUGCGCGGUGUAGCGGUGAAAUGCAGAGAUAUCACGCAGAACCCCGAUUGCGAAGGCAGCAUACCGGUGCACAACUGACGCUGAGGCACGAAAGCGUGGGUAUCGAACAGGAUGAGAUACCCCAGUAGUC
RNAcentral lists this ribosomal RNA (458 nucleotides) under uncultured bacterium. Its description in RNAcentral is "partial 16S ribosomal RNA". It matches the Rfam family "Bacterial small subunit ribosomal RNA", at positions 338 to 795 of the family's 1533-position model. The record is from RNAcentral.